AUUGAACGCUAGCGGGAUGCUUUACACAUGCAAGUCGAACGGCAGCGCGGACUUCGGUCUGGCUGCGAGUGGCGAACGGGUGAGUAAUGUAUCGGAACGUGCCCAGUAGCGGGGUAUAACUACUCUAAAGCGUAGCUAAUACCGCAUACGCCCUACGGGGGAAAGCCGUGGAUCGUAAUACCUUGCACUUUUUUAUCUGCCGAUAUCGGAUUAGCUAGUUGGUGUGGUAACGGCUCACCAAGGCGACGAUCCGUAGCUGGUUUGAGGGGACGACCAGCCACACUGGGAGUGAGAAACGGACCAGACUCCUACGGGAGGCAGCAGUGGGGAAUUUUGGACAAUGGGGGAAAGCCUGAUCCAGCCAACCCGCGUGUGAGAUGAAGGCGUUAGGGUUGUAAAGAACUUUUGGCAGGAAAGAAAAGACGCGGGCUAAUAACCCGAGGAAGUGACGGUAACUGCAGAAUAAGCACCGGCUAACUACGUG
This 484-nucleotide ribosomal RNA is filed under the name uncultured bacterium. RNAcentral describes it as "partial 16S ribosomal RNA". It matches the Rfam family "Bacterial small subunit ribosomal RNA", at positions 30 to 507 of the family's 1533-position model. The record is from RNAcentral.